GAGGAAAGUCCGGGCAACAUUGGGCAUCGUGCCGCAUGAAUAGUGCGGGCAUCUUGGCGGUAACGUUAGGAUGACAGACAGUACCACAGAAAAUAGGUAGCUCAGGCUGACUCGUUCAGUCAGGGUGAUAGUGAAAAGGCGGGGUAAGAGCCCACCGGCCGGCCAGUAAUAAAAGGCGCAUGGUAAACCUCGCGAGUUGAAAGGUCAAAUAGGCCCUGAUAAAAUGAACGGCCCGUUCUUACCUGUUAAACCAGGUAUCAGGGUGGGUAGACCGAUUGAUCCUGACGGUAACGUCAGGACAAGAUAAAUGAUGAGCAUGCUGAGCAAUCAGUGAACAGAACCCGGCUU
This 348-nucleotide RNase P RNA is filed under the name unidentified bacterium CPB69. RNAcentral's name for it is "partial RNAase P". It matches the Rfam family "Bacterial RNase P class A", at positions 43 to 350 of the family's 367-position model. From Rfam's summary of the family: Ribonuclease P (RNase P) is a ubiquitous endoribonuclease, found in archaea, bacteria and eukarya as well as chloroplasts and mitochondria. The record is from RNAcentral.